GUCACUUUGAGUUGCGGGAACUUCAGCUGUUGUGUGAAAAUUCACCUUUUCCGAUUGUGCCGUUUUAUACUUCGCAUUGUAUAAUGUGAAAUGAGAAUUAAUCGUACCAGUGUAGGGUGUGUUUUGCAUCAUUCGAGACAUCUAAUGAUAGAUAAUCAAUCAACCAGGAAGAACCGUGAUGCCGUCGGCUAGUGUUUGAUAUGGGUUAAAUGUGCUAAACUGGACACCGGUCAUGGCUACCACGAUCUUGCUGCCUGCUACAUGCUACCUCAAUUUCCAAUGCAAAAUCAAAGACUACCAUGGUUUGUAGUAGGCCACAGUCGUGGAGUUUCUGCUCGUUACCUUUCCGCAAUUUGAUCUGCAGCUAGCAAAGGCAAUUGUAAUACCGGAAAGCUGCUAACUUGUUAUGUGUUAUCGAUACAUUAUUUUCAAAACAAUUGCAAAGAGUUGGAUGUAGCAUACCAGUACAAUAUGAACUCAUGAUUAACCGUUAAUGCAUGAAUAAAGCUUUUCAGAACGUCAUUUACUAGACGUGAUCAUAGUCAACACUGCUUAGAGAUGCUUACAAGCACAUCAUUCAAACGGUUCGAAAUGAAAAAAACCAUCACCGCCGACUCCAAAGCACAGUGCCUGAAUGCAAGGUAACAAAUCUCAACGCAAUGCAGGAAUCUGUCACAACCUGGCAUCAACAGCGGCAGACAUUAAAUUGAAAGAGGAACAGCAUGAAACCAAAGAGCUGACAAAGAAAAUAUAGGAAUUUGGAAGAUAAAAUCACCGUAUAAAAUGCUCGUUUAAGAGCAACCAGAAACAAAUGCGAAAUGGACGUUGGCUGAGAAAAAUAUGAAAAGAUUAAAGAUGAAUAACUGCCCGGUCCUUGAGGCAGUUACAGAUGCAGGGAAAAUUACAGAACUUGAACAACGAUUAGAUAUAGCAGAUGAAAUGCGCCAUAUCCACCAUUUACUCGCCGCUGUUCGUCGCACAGCACACCUCACCGCGGCGACGGCUUAGCUAGCGUAACAGAAGCAAAUAGUAUUAAUUACGUGACGCGUGGUAUCGCCACACAACCCUG
Anopheles moucheti is the source of this 1069-nucleotide long non-coding RNA. RefSeq lists it as uncharacterized. The transcript has 3 exons. The record is from RefSeq and is a predicted model, not a curated record. NCBI's taxonomy places the organism in Eukaryota, Metazoa, Arthropoda, Insecta, Diptera, Culicidae.